Molecule: transfer RNA, 76 nt
Filed under: Clostridiales bacterium
Lineage: Bacteria; Bacillati; Bacillota; Clostridia; Eubacteriales
Description: tRNA-Thr
Rfam family: tRNA
About the family: Transfer RNA (tRNA) molecules are approximately 80 nucleotides in length.
Source: RNAcentral
GCUGUUAUAGCUCAGGAGGCAGAGCACAUCCUUGGUAAGGAUGAGGUCGGCAGUUCGAAUCUGCCUAACAGCUCCA